UGAGGAAUAUUGGUCAAUGGGCGGAAGCCUGAACCAGCCAAGUAGCGUGCAGGAUGACGGCCCUAUGGGUUGUAAACUGCUUUUAUAUGGGGAUAAAGUUAGUUACGUGUAACUAUUUGCAGGUACCAUAUGAAUAAGGACCGGCUAAUUCCGUGCCAGCAGCCGCGGUAAUACGGAAGGUCCAGGCGUUAUCCGGAUUUAUUGGGUUUAAAGGGAGCGUAGGCUGUUUUUUAAGCGUGUUGUGAAAUGUAGAUGCUUAACAUCUGAAUUGCAGCGCGAACUGGAAGACUUGAGUGCGCGGAAGGUAGGCGGAAUUCGUCGUGUAGCGGUGAAAUGCUUAGAUAUGACGAAGAACUCCGAUUGCGAAGGCAGCUUGCCGCAGCGCCACUGACGCUGAUGCUCGAAAGCGUGGGGAUCGAACA
This 422-nucleotide ribosomal RNA is filed under the name uncultured prokaryote. RNAcentral describes it as "bacterial SSU rRNA". It matches the Rfam family "Bacterial small subunit ribosomal RNA", at positions 355 to 774 of the family's 1533-position model. The record is from RNAcentral.